AAAGCGGCAACUGAUUCCGAUGUUCCCCAGAAAGUCUCAGCGAUUCAGUGCGCUGAUGAGAAGCCACCGCUGUUGGCUCCUGUGGAUGCAAAGGUAUCCGAAGCUGUCGAUCCAGUCAAGCCUGAAACUGUCGAUGCGGCCAAGCCUGAAACUGUCGAUGCGGCCAAGCCUGAAACUGUCGAUGUGGCCAAGCCUGAAACUGUCGUUGCAGCCCAGCCUGAAACUGUCGUUGCAGCCCAGCCUGAAACUGUGGUUGCAGCCCAGCCUGAAACUGUGGUUGCAGCUGAGCCUGAAACUGUUGACAGAUUCAAUGUGGAUGAAGCUACCAUUAUUUUCAUCCAAGCCACUAUAAGGAGUUUCCUG
RNAcentral lists this long non-coding RNA (363 nucleotides) under Eucalyptus grandis. Its description in RNAcentral is "long non-coding RNA (EGRA_LNC003665)". The record is from RNAcentral. Lineage: Eukaryota; Viridiplantae; Streptophyta; Magnoliopsida; Myrtales; Myrtaceae.